Molecule: ribosomal RNA, 465 nt
Filed under: Vreelandella stevensii
Lineage: Bacteria; Pseudomonadati; Pseudomonadota; Gammaproteobacteria; Oceanospirillales; Halomonadaceae
Description: partial 16S ribosomal RNA
Rfam family: Bacterial small subunit ribosomal RNA
Source: RNAcentral
CCUAUGGGUGGCAGCAGUGGGGAAUAUUGGACAAUGGGCGAAAGCCUGAUCCAGCCAUGCCGCGUGUGUGAAGAAGGCCUUCGGGUUGUAAAGCACUUUCAGUGGGGAAGAAAGCCUUGGGGCUAAUACCCUCGAGGAAGGACAUCACCCACAGAAGAAGCACCGGCUAACUCCGUGCCAGCAGCCGCGGUAAUACGGAGGGUGCGAGCGUUAAUCGGAAUUACUGGGCGUAAAGCGCGCGUAGGCGGUCUGAUAAGCCGGUUGUGAAAGCCCCGGGCUCAACCUGGGAACGGCAUCCGGAACUGUCAGGCUAGAGUGCAGGAGAGGAAGGUAGAAUUCCCGGUAUAGCAGUGAAAUGCGUAGAGAUCGGGAGGAAUACCAGUGGCGAAGGCGGCCUUCUGGACUGACACUGACGCUGAGGUGCGAAAGCGUGGGUAGCAAACAGGAUUAGAUACCCUAGUAGUC